UGCUGUGAUGCUGUAAUUUGCGCCUUACUCUGUUCUCAGUGACAGUUGCCUGCUGUCAAUAAGCUGGUACAGAAGGUUGCUGAAAAUGUUUUUCUGAGCA
Monodelphis domestica (gray short-tailed opossum) is the source of this 100-nucleotide small nucleolar RNA. Its record names the gene SNORD16. It matches the Rfam family "Small nucleolar RNA SNORD16". Rfam says of the family: U16 is a member of the C/D class of snoRNA which contain the C (UGAUGA) and D (CUGA) box motifs. Lineage: Eukaryota; Metazoa; Chordata; Mammalia; Didelphimorphia; Didelphidae. The record is from Ensembl.